RNAcentral lists this transfer RNA (85 nucleotides) under Clostridia bacterium. RNAcentral describes it as "tRNA-Tyr". It matches the Rfam family "tRNA". From Rfam's summary of the family: Transfer RNA (tRNA) molecules are approximately 80 nucleotides in length. Their secondary structure includes four short double-helical elements and three loops (D, anti-codon, and T loops). Further hydrogen bonds mediate the characteristic L-shaped molecular structure. tRNAs have two regions of fundamental functional importance: the anti-codon, which is responsible for specific mRNA codon recognition, and the 3' end, to which the tRNAs corresponding amino acid is attached (by aminoacyl-tRNA synthetases). tRNAs cope with the degeneracy of the genetic code in two manners: having more than one tRNA (with a specific anti-codon) for a particular amino acid; and 'wobble' base-pairing, i.e. permitting non-standard base-pairing at the 3rd anti-codon position. Lineage: Bacteria; Bacillati; Bacillota; Clostridia. The record is from RNAcentral.
GGGAGAGUUCCCGAGUGGCCAAAGGGGGCAGACUGUAAAUCUGUUGGUUGUACCUUCGGUGGUUCGAAUCCUCCCUCUCCCACCA